GCUUACGGCCAUACCACCCUGUCUGCACCUGAUCUCGGAAGCUAAGCAGGGUCGCGCCUGGUUAGUACUUGGAUGGGAGACCGCCUCUGAAUAUCAGGUGCUGUAAGCU
RNAcentral lists this ribosomal RNA (109 nucleotides) under Sinocyclocheilus anshuiensis. Lineage: Eukaryota; Metazoa; Chordata; Actinopteri; Cypriniformes; Cyprinidae. The record is from RNAcentral.